UCCCUCUUUGAAAUUAAAGACUCAAUGUGAAAAAUAUUUAGAGAACAACCAAGAUUACAAGAAAAAGGAGGAUGCAAUGGUCAUUCGUGACUUAGAUGAUGAAGAUAUCUAUGUAGUAACCAAUAAUGCUAGUGUUAAGCAUGAUGAUUGGGUUAUUGAUUCCGCUAGUUCCUACCACAUCACUCUUAAUAGGGAUUGCUUCUCCACUUAUAAACCCUGUGAGGAG
RNAcentral lists this long non-coding RNA (226 nucleotides) under Elaeis guineensis (African oil palm). Its description in RNAcentral is "long non-coding RNA (EGUI_LNC012230)". The record is from RNAcentral. Lineage: Eukaryota; Viridiplantae; Streptophyta; Magnoliopsida; Arecales; Arecaceae.